GGGUUGUGAGGUUAAGCGACUAAGCGUACACGGUGGAUGCCCUGGCAGUCAGAGGCGAUGAAGGACGUGCUAAUCUGCGAUAAGCGUCGGUAAGGUGAUAUGAACCGUUAUAACCGGCGAUUUCCGAAUGGGGAAACCCAGUGUGUUUCGACACACUAUCAUUAACUGAAUCCAUAGGUUAAUGAGGCGAACCGGGGGAACUGAAACAUCUAAGUACCCCGAGGAAAAGAAAUCAACCGAGAUUCCCCCAGUAGCGGCGAGCGAACGGGGAGCAGCCCAGAGCCUGAAUCAGUGUGUGUGUUAGUGGAAGCGUCUGGAAAGGCGCGCGAUACAGGGUGACAGCCCCGUACACAAAAAUGCACAUGCUGUGAGCUCGAUGAGUAGGGCGGGACACGUGGUAUCCUGUCUGAAUAUGGGGGGACCAUCCUCCAAGGCUAAAUACUCCUGACUGACCGAUAGUGAACCAGUACCGUGAGGGAAAGGCGAAAAGAACCCCGGCGAGGGGAGUGAAAAAGAACCUGAAACCGUGUACGUACAAGCAGUGGGAGCCUCUUUUAUGGGGUGACUGCGUACCUUUUGUAUAAUGGGUCAGCGACUUAUAUUCUGUAGCAAGGUUAACCGAAUAGGGGAGCCGAAGGGAAACCGAGUCUUAACUGGGCGUUAAGUUGCAGGGUAUAGACCCGAAACCCGGUGAUCUAGCCAUGGGCAGGUUGAAGGUUGGGUAACACUAACUGGAGGACCGAACCGACUAAUGUUGAAAAAUUAGCGGAUGACUUGUGGCUGGGGGUGAAAGGCCAAUCAAACCGGGAGAUAGCUGGUUCUCCCCGAAAGCUAUUUAGGUAGCGCCUCGUGAAUUCAUCUCCGGGGGUAGAGCACUGUUUCGGCAAGGGGGUCAUCCCGACUUACCAACCCGAUGCAAACUGCGAAUACCGGAGAAUGUUAUCACGGGAGACACACGGCGGGUGCUAACGUCCGUCGUGAAGAGGGAAACAACCCAGACCGCCAGCUAAGGUCCCAAAGUCAUGGUUAAGUGGGAAACGAUGUGGGAAGGCCCAGACAGCCAGGAUGUUGGCUUAGAAGCAGCCAUCAUUUAAAGAAAGCGUAAUAGCUCACUGGUCGAGUCGGCCUGCGCGGAAGAUGUAACGGGGCUAAACCAUGCACCGAAGCUGCGGCAGCGACACUGUGUGUUGUUGGGUAGGGGAGCGUUCUGUAAGCCUGCGAAGGUGUGCUGUGAGGCAUGCUGGAGGUAUCAGAAGUGCGAAUGCUGACAUAAGUAACGAUAAAGCGGGUGAAAAGCCCGCUCGCCGGAAGACCAAGGGUUCCUGUCCAACGUUAAUCGGGGCAGGGUGAGUCGACCCCUAAGGCGAGGCCGAAAGGCGUAGUCGAUGGGAAACAGGUUAAUAUUCCUGUACUUGGUGUUACUGCGAAGGGGGGACGGAGAAGGCUAUGUUGGCCGGGCGACGGUUGUCCCGGUUUAAGCGUGUAGGCUGGUUUUCCAGGCAAAUCCGGAAAAUCAAGGCUGAGGCGUGAUGACGAGGCACUACGGUGCUGAAGCAACAAAUGCCCUGCUUCCAGGAAAAGCCUCUAAGCAUCAGGUAACAUCAAAUCGUACCCCAAACCGACACAGGUGGUCAGGUAGAGAAUACCAAGGCGCUUGAGAGAACUCGGGUGAAGGAACUAGGCAAAAUGGUGCCGUAACUUCGGGAGAAGGCACGCUGAUAUGUAGGUGAAGUCCCUCGCGGAUGGAGCUGAAAUCAGUCGAAGAUACCAGCUGGCUGCAACUGUUUAUUAAAAACACAGCACUGUGCAAACACGAAAGUGGACGUAUACGGUGUGACGCCUGCCCGGUGCCGGAAGGUUAAUUGAUGGGGUCAGCGCAAGCGAAGCUCUUGAUCGAAGCCCCGGUAAACGGCGGCCGUAACUAUAACGGUCCUAAGGUAGCGAAAUUCCUUGUCGGGUAAGUUCCGACCUGCACGAAUGGCGUAAUGAUGGCCAGGCUGUCUCCACCCGAGACUCAGUGAAAUUGAACUCGCUGUGAAGAUGCAGUGUACCCGCGGCAAGACGGAAAGACCCCGUGAACCUUUACUAUAGCUUGACACUGAACAUUGAGCCUUGAUGUGUAGGAUAGGUGGGAGGCUUUGAAGUGUGGACGCCAGUCUGCAUGGAGCCGACCUUGAAAUACCACCCUUUAAUGUUUGAUGUUCUAACGUGGACCCGUGAUCCGGGUUGCGGACAGUGUCUGGUGGGUAGUUUGACUGGGGCGGUCUCCUCCUAAAGAGUAACGGAGGAGCACGAAGGUUGGCUAAUCCUGGUCGGACAUCAGGAGGUUAGUGCAAUGGCAUAAGCCAGCUUGACUGCGAGCGUGACGGCGCGAGCAGGUGCGAAAGCAGGUCAUAGUGAUCCGGUGGUUCUGAAUGGAAGGGCCAUCGCUCAACGGAUAAAAGGUACUCCGGGGAUAACAGGCUGAUACCGCCCAAGAGUUCAUAUCGACGGCGGUGUUUGGCACCUCGAUGUCGGCUCAUCACAUCCUGGGGCUGAAGUAGGUCCCAAGGGUAUGGCUGUUCGCCAUUUAAAGUGGUACGCGAGCUGGGUUUAGAACGUCGUGAGACAGUUCGGUCCCUAUCUGCCGUGGGCGCUGGAGAACUGAGGGGGGCUGCUCCUAGUACGAGAGGACCGGAGUGGACGCAUCACUGGUGUUCGGGUUGUCAUGCCAAUGGCACUGCCCGGUAGCUAAAUGCGGAAGAGAUAAGUGCUGAAAGCAUCUAAGCACGAAACUUGCCCCGAGAUGAGUUCUCCCUGACUCCUUGAGAGUCCUGAAGGAACGUUGAAGACGACGACGUUGAUAGGCCGGGUGUGUAAGCGCAGCGAUGCGUUGAGCUAACCGGUACUAAUGAACCGUGAGGCUUAACCUUACAACGCCGAAG
RNAcentral lists this ribosomal RNA (2924 nucleotides) under Salmonella sp. S13. Its description in RNAcentral is "23S ribosomal RNA". It matches the Rfam family "Bacterial large subunit ribosomal RNA". The record is from RNAcentral. Lineage: Bacteria; Pseudomonadati; Pseudomonadota; Gammaproteobacteria; Enterobacterales; Enterobacteriaceae.